GAUGAACGCUGGCGGCGUGCCUAACACAAGCAAGUCGAGCGAUCUUCUUCGGAAGAGAGCGGCGGACGGGUGAGUAACGCGUGGGUAACCUGCCCUGUACACACGGAUAACAUACCGAAAGGUAUGCUAAUACGGGAUGACAUAUGAAAGUCGCAUGGCUUUUAUAUCAAAGCUCCGGCGGUACAGGAUGGACCCGCGUCUGAUUAGCUAGUUGGUAAGGUAACGGCUUACCAAGGCGACGAUCAGUAGCCGACCUGAGAGGGUGAUCGGCCACACUGGAACUGAGACACGGUCCAGACUCCUACGGGAGGCAGCAGUGGGGAAUAUUGCACAAUGGGCGAAAGCCUGAUGCAGCAACGCCGCGUGAGCGAUGAAGGCCUUCGGGUCGUAAAGCUCUGUCCUCAAGGAAGAUAAUGACGGUACUUGAGGAGGAAGCCCCGGCUAACUACGUGCCAGCAGCCGCGGUAAUACGUAGGGGGCUAGCGUUAUCCGGAAUUACUGGGCGUAAAGGGUGCGUAGGCGGUCUUUCAAGCCAGAAGUGAAAGGCUACGGCUCAACCGUAGUAAGCUUUUGGAACUGUAGGACUUGAGUGCAGGAGAGGAGAGUGGAAUUCCUAGUGUAGCGGUGAAAUGCGUAGAUAUUAGGAGGAACACCAGUAGCGAAGGCGGCUCUCUGGACUGUAACUGACGCUGAGGCACGAAAGCGUGGGGAGCAAACAGG
Molecule: ribosomal RNA, 720 nt
Filed under: uncultured bacterium
Lineage: Bacteria
Description: bacterial SSU rRNA
Rfam family: Bacterial small subunit ribosomal RNA
Source: RNAcentral